Molecule: ribosomal RNA, 414 nt
Filed under: uncultured bacterium
Lineage: Bacteria
Description: bacterial SSU rRNA
Rfam family: Archaeal small subunit ribosomal RNA
Source: RNAcentral
GUGUCAGCCGCGGUAACACCGGCAGCUCGCGUGGUAGCCGCGUUUAUUGGGCCGAAAGCGUCCGUAGCCGGUCCGAUAAGUCUCUGGUGAAAGCCCACAGCUCAACUGUGGGAAUCGCUGGAGAUACUAUCGGACUUGAGGCCGGGAGAGGCUGGAGGUACCCCCAGGGUAGGGGUGAAAUCCUAUAAUCCUGGGAGGACCACCUGUGGCGAAGGCGUCCAGCUGGAACGGACCUAACGGUGAGGGACGAAAGCCAGGGGCGCGAACCGGAUUAGAUACCCGGGUAGUCCUGGCCGUAAACGAUGCGGACUUGGUGUUGGGACGGCUUUGAGCUGUCCCAGUGCCGAAGGGAAGCGGUUAAGUCCGCCGCCUGGGAAGUACGGCCGCAAGGCUGAAACUUAAAGGAAUUGACGG